This 265-nucleotide ribosomal RNA is filed under the name uncultured soil bacterium. RNAcentral describes it as "partial 16S ribosomal RNA". It matches the Rfam family "Bacterial small subunit ribosomal RNA", at positions 26 to 292 of the family's 1533-position model. The record is from RNAcentral.
AGGACGAACGCUGGCGGCGUGCUUAACACAUGCAAGUCGAGCGGUAAGGCCCUUUCGGGGGUACACGAGCGGCGAACGGGUGAGUAACACGUGAGCAAUCUGCCCUUCACUUCGGGAUAGCCUCGGAAACGGGGUCUAAUACCGGAUAUGACCGCGCUACGCAUGUGGUGUGGUGGAAAGUUCUGGCGGUGGAGGAGUGAGCUCGCGGCCUAUCAGCUUGUUGGUGGGGUAAUGGCCUACCAAGGCUUCGGACGGGUAGCCGGCC